GUCCUAGCAGUAAACGGUGCACGCUUGGUGUGAGGGGAAUCGACCCCCCUUGUGCCGGAGCUAACGCGUUAAGCGUGCCGCCUGGGAAGUACGGUCGCAAGACUAAAACUCAAAGAAAUUGACGGGGACCCGCACAAGCGGUGGAGUAUGUGGCUUAAUUCGAUGCAACGCGAAGAACCUUACCAAGGCUUGACAUGCAUCUCUAAGCGCGUGAAAGCGCGUGACCCUUCGGGGGAUUUGCACAGGUGCUGCAUGGCCGUCGU
RNAcentral lists this ribosomal RNA (263 nucleotides) under uncultured bacterium. RNAcentral describes it as "partial 16S ribosomal RNA". It matches the Rfam family "Bacterial small subunit ribosomal RNA", at positions 793 to 1055 of the family's 1533-position model. The record is from RNAcentral.